ACGGAGGGUGCGAGCGUUAAUCGGAAUUACUGGGCGUAAAGGGCGCGUAGGCGGUUCGGUCAGUCAGAUGUGAAAGCCCCGGGCUUAACCUGGGAAUUGCAUUUGAUACUGCCGAGCUUGAGUGUGGUAGAGGGAAGCGGAAUUCCGGGUGUAGCGGUGAAAUGCGUAGAUAUCCGGAGGAACACCAGUGGCGAAGGCGGCUUCCUGGACCAACACUGACGCUGAGGCGCGAAAGCGUGGGGAGCAAACAGG
This 252-nucleotide ribosomal RNA is filed under the name uncultured bacterium. RNAcentral describes it as "partial 16S ribosomal RNA". It matches the Rfam family "Bacterial small subunit ribosomal RNA", at positions 525 to 776 of the family's 1533-position model. The record is from RNAcentral.